GUUGUAUAGUUAAGUGACUAAGCGUACAAGGUGGAUGCCUUGGCAAUCAGAGGCGAAGAAGGACGUGCUAAUCUGCGAAAAGCUUGGAUGAGUCGAUAAGAGGCGUUUAAUCCAAGAUAUCCGAAUGGGGAAACCCAGUAGAUGAAGAAUCUACUAUCAACAAGUGAAUUCAUAGCUUGUUGAGGCAAACCGGGAGAACUGAAACAUCUAAGUACCCCGAGGAAAAGAAAUCAACCGAGAUUUCGUCAGUAGCGGCGAGCGAAAGCGAAAGAGCCAGUAAGUGAUAGCAGUAUAGUGAGGAGAAUGUGUUGGGAAGCACAAUCAAAGAGGGUGAUAAUCCCGUAUCUAAAAACCAUAUUGUGGUACUAAGCUAACGAGAAGUAGGGCGGGACACGUGAUAUCCUGUUUGAAGAAGGGGGGACCAUCCUCCAAGGCUAAAUACUCCUGAUUGACCGAUAGUGAACCAGUACUGUGAAGGAAAGGCGAAAAGAACCCCGGUGAGGGGAGUGAAAUAGAACCUGAAACCUUGUACGUACAAGCAGUGGGAGCCCCAUCACUUAAUCCGAUUGGAAGGUGAUGAAAAGCAACCGCACUUAAACAAUGGUAAGAGGAGCGAAGCGAGUCAAACCACCCAAAAGAAGCAGUGGGAUUAAGUGAUGGGGUGACUGCGUACCUUUUGUAUAAUGGGUCAGCGACUUAUAUUUUGUAGCGAGGUUAACCGAAUAGGGGAGCCGAAGGGAAACCGAGUCUUAACUGGGCGUCUAGUUGCAAGGUAUAGACCCGAAACCCGGUGAUCUAGCCAUGGGCAGGUUGAAGGUUGGGUAACACUAACUGGAGGACCGAACCGACUAAUGUUGAAAAAUUAGCGGAUGACUUGUGGCUGGGGGUGAAAGGCCAAUCAAACCGGGAGAUAGCUGGUUCUCCCCGAAAUCUAUUUAGGUAGAGCCUUGAGGUGACACCUUUGGGGGUAGAGCACUGUUUCGGCUAGGGGUCCAUCCCGGAUUACCAACCCGAUGCAAACUACGAAUACCAAAGAGUGAUACUCAGGAGACACACGGCGGGUGCUAACGUCCGUCGUGGAGAGGGAAACAACCCAGACCGCCAGCUAAGGUCCCCAAGUCUAUAUUAAGUGGGAAACGAAGUGGGAAGGCUUAGACAGCUAGGAUGUUGGCUUAGAAGCAGCCAUCAUUUAAAGAAAGCGUAAUAGCUCACUAGUCGAGUCGGCCUGCGCGGAAGAUGUAACGGGGCUGAAAUAUAGCACCGAAGCUGCGGCAUCAG
RNAcentral lists this ribosomal RNA (1278 nucleotides) under Haemophilus influenzae. Its description in RNAcentral is "bacterial LSU rRNA". It matches the Rfam family "Bacterial large subunit ribosomal RNA", at positions 1 to 1211 of the family's 2925-position model. The record is from RNAcentral. Lineage: Bacteria; Pseudomonadati; Pseudomonadota; Gammaproteobacteria; Pasteurellales; Pasteurellaceae.